RNAcentral lists this ribosomal RNA (494 nucleotides) under uncultured bacterium. RNAcentral's name for it is "partial 16S ribosomal RNA". It matches the Rfam family "Bacterial small subunit ribosomal RNA", at positions 28 to 507 of the family's 1533-position model. The record is from RNAcentral.
GACGAACGCUGGCGGCGCGCUUAACACAUGCGAGUCGAACGGAAAGGCCUGCUUUCCCUUGUGGAUCGCGGGUACUCGAGUGGCGAACGGGUGAGUAACACGUGAGUGAUCUGCCCCCAACUUGGGUAUAAGCCUGGGAAACUGGGUCUAAUUCCCGAUAGGACUGCAGGGUGGUGCCUGUGGUGGAAAACGAUUUUCUAGUGGUUGGGGAUGGGCUCGCGGCCUAUCAGCUUGUUGGUGGGGUAAUGGCCCACCAAGGCGGCGACGGGUAGCCAGCCGGAGAGGGGGGACGGCCACAUUGAGACAGGGAUACGGCCCAGACUCCUGCGGGAGGCGGCGGUGGGGAAUAUUGCGCAAUGAGCGGAAGCCUGAUGCGGCGACGGCGCGUGGAGGAUGACGGCCUUCGGGUUGUAAACUCCUUGCGACCGCGAGGAGGCCGCCUGGUUGGAAGGGUGGUGACGGUAGUGGUAGAAGAAGCACCGGCUAACUACGUG